Long non-coding RNA from Rattus norvegicus (Norway rat), 1663 nucleotides. RefSeq lists it as uncharacterized. The record is from RefSeq and is a predicted model, not a curated record. NCBI's taxonomy places the organism in Eukaryota, Metazoa, Chordata, Mammalia, Rodentia, Muridae.
GCCUGGCGACCAAGGGCUCCUCUUAAAGUGCCUCCAAGAACAGUUUUACCCCGCCCCUUCCCAGAGCCCUUCAGUGACAGCCAGUCCAUUUCCUGUCACAUGUGGGAUCUGGUCCCAGCUGCUCUCCAACAUCCGUGCCAGCCAUGCCUGCCCUCACCCCCACCCACCCCUGCGUUCUCCAGCCACUGUUUCUUUAAUGUGCCAAGUUUACUUCUGCAUCGGGAACAGUAUACUGGCGCGCGCUCUCUCUCUCUCUCUCCCUCUCAUUAUUCAUAACUUUCUCUGAAGAAGCCAGAUUCCAUGCAGCCUGUCAAAUUGUUAUGUCUGAAUAUCUGUACUGUUUGUUUUGUGGUCUGUUCACUAUACGUGUCCCCACUGUGUGUAAACCUCUGUGGGCAGUCAUCUUACUCCUUGUUUAUCUCCAUGCGCCCAGUGUACAGGGGGCCACCUCAUACACAGUACUGUCCAAUAAACAUUUAUCAGUUGCAGAGACUGAACACACAGGCUGUUUAUGUGGUCAGCUCUGACCUGUCCUCUCAGACCUGUACCUGCACUAACAAGAUCAGUGCAACCUAUUUCCCAGGACUCAAGCUGGCCACGGAGCAUCCAUUCUGCCGGAAGUGGUGAGGGUGAUCACCAGCUAUGACCAGUGCUGUCUAAACUAUGGUGAAAUGUGGAUCCCUUCUCAGCGACUGACAGAUGGCUCUCCGUGUGUACAGGUUACUGAAUUCCACAGUAUGGCACUCAGCAGGACUCUGAGCUAAUCUCGGUCUUCCUGGCAAGAAGGAGAGGAGUCGAUGAGUGAUGCCUAGACUCAAUACAUGAUGCCUAAGCUGGGGGGAAAAUGCACUCGUUUGCUUUUCCUGAUCUUUGGGUCCAGGAUAUGGAAAUUUGAGAAAGUAAUCGGGGGAGGGGUAUGGUUGUCCACACCUUUUACUCACACUUGGAAGGCAGAAUUAGGUGAAUCUCUAUGAGUUGGAGGCCAAUCUGACCUACACAGUGGGUUCCAGGCCAGCCAAGGCUACAUACACAUCGAGAGUUCAUCUCAGGAAAAUUAAACGACAACUGUAGCCCUAAUUUUAACUACCUAAGAAGAUCCAGGAGUAUAAUGUAAAAACCAAGAUCAUUCGACUCUCAAGAAACUCAAGUAACAAAUUUCUGCUUAAGACCAAAACACCCCCCAAACCUCACUGCCUCUGAGUGACUUGGGUUCCUCUGAGGGAGGACUGAGACAGUCACUGAAGCAUUCUUGUGCACUCAUUAUCUGCUACUGUGCUAGUCUGUAAAUGGCUCUCUGCCUGUGCGUGUUGGGGGCUGGGAGGAAACCCAGGGCCUCAUGCUGCUCGGCAAUUCACUUUCUCAUGGAGCCGAAUCCUCAGCCCUUUAGAACGGCUUUUGUUUGGGACUUCCAAGUACACUGUGGUUAACUGGGCUUUAAAAAGCAACUGUGGUGUGCGCUCCAGCCGCAAGCAAGAGUCAGCCCAAAAAGUCCUCGAGGAAUUGCACACAGGCACUCCCUCUAGGUAGUAGACCAGCCAUGUUCUUCGUUUUUCUUCAUUCUGCUACUUCCUGUUCACCCCUGACCUCUCCUUGCUGUUAGCUUCUUUGCUCUGCGACCCUAGACGCUGUGGCCUAUACAAUCCAAGAGGAACCGUUUUUCUGA